AAAAGUAUAGUGUGUCCUUGGAGGGAGGAAGGCAUAGCGAGACUUUAUGAGGCUCUUUGCUGUUCGUAUCCCACCAUUUCACUUUCCUAAUGAUCGGAGUAAUUUGUGUUAUCGAAUAAGUUUAUUUGUUAAACACUUUUAAGUUGAAA
Caenorhabditis elegans is the source of this 149-nucleotide non-coding RNA. NCBI's taxonomy places the organism in Eukaryota, Metazoa, Nematoda, Chromadorea, Rhabditida, Rhabditidae. The record is from Ensembl.